Molecule: long non-coding RNA, 565 nt
Organism: Sinocyclocheilus grahami
Lineage: Eukaryota; Metazoa; Chordata; Actinopteri; Cypriniformes; Cyprinidae
Exons: 3
Source: RefSeq, a predicted model, not a curated record
GAAGGACCGGCUGCAUCGUGGCUCCUGGGGAUAUAAAGGUGAAGAGAGAUUCACAUCUUUUAAAGCCUGCAUGAAGAAGGAACUCACUGCUAAAUAGGCGAAAGUCCCGCUGAGUGUUUCUCUUCACCUUCACAUCACACUGAAGAAAUCUCAUGUUGGAUUAAAGUUCUCAGUGACUCGAUGCAAUUAUCUACCUAACCUGUGUCAAACUCUGUAAGAUACAAAUACUGCCAUAAUUAGAUUAACACAUGCUACCUCCCUAGACUGUAGUCACAGCUUUGUCACUCGGCUGGCACUUUCUGAACUCUUUAAAAGCCAUUAACAUGAAAUAGCCAUGAUACUUUUAUUAAUCAAAGAGUUAUUUAUUAAAGUUCUUAUAAAUUUAAAUGGGUCCAGUGCCCACAUUUUGGGAUAAAUUAUGUUGUUUAAUUAUUUACAAAGUAGUGUCUUUAUUUAUGAUGAUAUAUUACUUAAUAAGUUUAAAGGGAACUGUGUUGAAGUGAAAAGUGCUGAAUUCUUAUGGCGUGUACAGUUAUUUAUUCUAUUUAUUGAUCUAUUUUGUGUA